Molecule: ribosomal RNA, 254 nt
Filed under: uncultured bacterium
Lineage: Bacteria
Description: partial small subunit ribosomal RNA
Rfam family: Bacterial small subunit ribosomal RNA
Source: RNAcentral
AGGACGAACGCUGGCGGCGUGCUUAACACAUGCAAGUCGAGCGGAAAGGCCCUUCGGGGUACUCGAGCGGCGAACGGGUGAGUAACACGUGAGCAACCUGCCCUUAGCUCCGGGAUAGCUCCGGGAAACCGGAAUUAAUACCGGAUAUGACUAUGGCUGACAUCAGCCACGGUGGAAAGUUUUUCGGCUAGGGAUGAGCUCGCGGCCUAUCAGCUAGUUGGUGGGGUAACGGCCUACCAAGGCGACGACGGGUA